AGGACGAGUACGAUGAAGACGAUGAGGAGGAGAAGGCGACAGUACAUGUGAUCAAACCUGUGCCUGAACCUGAGCAGGAAGCACCAAAGGCUGAGCCCACAGUGUGUCCCUGUCUGCAUUCAGCUAGAGCCAAAGAGACGGUCACCAAGACGGCAGAGAAGAAAGAUGCUCCCAGGAGGGUCUCAGCUGUGAGGAGGAAAG
This is a long non-coding RNA of Monopterus albus (swamp eel), 201 nucleotides long. RefSeq lists it as uncharacterized. NCBI's taxonomy places the organism in Eukaryota, Metazoa, Chordata, Actinopteri, Synbranchiformes, Synbranchidae. The record is from RefSeq and is a predicted model, not a curated record. The transcript has 3 exons.